This 301-nucleotide ribosomal RNA is filed under the name uncultured bacterium. Its description in RNAcentral is "partial 16S ribosomal RNA". It matches the Rfam family "Bacterial small subunit ribosomal RNA", at positions 509 to 808 of the family's 1533-position model. The record is from RNAcentral.
CAGUCGCCGCGGGAAUACGUAUGUCACGAGCGUUAUCCGGAUUUAUUGGGCGUAAAGCGCGUCUAGGUGGUUAUAUAAGUCUGAUGUGAAAAUGCAGGGCUCAACUCUGUAUUGCGUUGGAAACUGUAUAACUAGAGUACUGGAGAGGUAAGCGGAACUACAAGUGUAGAGGUGAACUUCGUAGAUAUUUGUAGGAAUGCCGAUGGGGAAGCCAGCUUACUGGACAGAUACUGACGCUGAAGCGCGAAAGCGUGGGUAGCAAACAGGAUUAGAUACCCCUGUAGUCCCUGUCUCUUAUACA